AAUCAGAAAGCCACGGCUAACUACGUGCCAGCAGCCGCGGUAAUACGUAGGUGGCAAGCGUUAUCCGGAAUUAUUGGGCGUAAAGCGCGCGUAGGCGGUGUUUUAAGUCUGAUGUGAAAGCCCACGGCUCAACCGUGGAGGGUCAUUGGAAACUGGAAAACUUGAGUGCAGAAGAGGAAAGUGGAAUUCCAUGUGUAGCGGUGAAAUGCGCAGAGAUAUGGAGGAACACCAGUGGCGAAGGCGACUUUCUGGUCUGUAACUGACGCUGAUGUGCGAAAGCGUGGGGAUCAAACAGGAUUAGAUACCCUGGUAGUCCACG
RNAcentral lists this ribosomal RNA (319 nucleotides) under Staphylococcus aureus. Its description in RNAcentral is "bacterial SSU rRNA". It matches the Rfam family "Bacterial small subunit ribosomal RNA", at positions 481 to 799 of the family's 1533-position model. Lineage: Bacteria; Bacillati; Bacillota; Bacilli; Caryophanales; Staphylococcaceae. The record is from RNAcentral.